Molecule: long non-coding RNA, 1133 nt
Filed under: Betta splendens (Siamese fighting fish)
Lineage: Eukaryota; Metazoa; Chordata; Actinopteri; Anabantiformes; Osphronemidae
Description: lncRNA (ENSBSLG00000015786.1)
Source: RNAcentral
CAAGACAUAUGCAACUGUACAUUUAGGAUGCAUUGAGCUGUUUGACAGUCUCUCGGCGUCAGAACAUGACCAUUAGAGGCUGUUCAGGUGGAAACCAAUGCAGAAACACUAAAACAUCGUUUUUGAGCUUUUCAGGCAAUAAGAAAACUAGUUUAAACCACGGCAUAUGCAACUGUACAUUUAGGAUGCAUUGAGAUGUUUGACAGUACUCUGGCAUCAGAACAUGACCAUUAGAGGCUGUUCUGAAAGAAAACCAAUGCAGAAACACUAAAACAUCGUUUUUUAGCUUUUCAGGCCAUAAGAAAACUAGUUUAAACCACGCCAUAUGAAACUAUGCUUUUAGGGUAUAUUGACCUGUUUUAAAGUAUUCUGGCAUCAGAACAUGACCAUUAGAGGCUGUUCUGAAGGACACCAAUGCUUAAACACUAAAACAUAGUUUUUGAGGUUUUCAGGUCAUACGAACACUAGUUUAAACCAAGGCAUUUGAAACUGUGCUUUAUGGCGUAUUGAGCUGUUUUAAAGUUGCCUGGCAUCAGACAUGACCAUCUUAAGCUGUAAUGUUAGAAACCAAUGCAUAAACACUAAAACAUCGUUUUUGAGCUUUUCAGGUCAUAAGAACACUAGUUUAAACCACGGCAUAUGCAACUGUACAUUUAGGAUGCAUUGAGCUGUUUUAAAGUAGCCUGGCAUGAGAACAUGACCAUUACAAACUGUAUAGUUAAAAACCAAUGCACAAACACUAAAACAUCGUUUUGGAGCUUUUCAGGUCAUAAGAACACUAGUUUAAAACCACGGAAUAUGCAACUGUACAUUUAGGAUGCAUUGAGCUGUUUGACAGUAUUCUGGCAUCAGAACAUGACCAUUGGAGGCUGUUCAGGUGGAAACCAAUGCAGAAACACUAAAACAUCGUUUUUGAGCUUUUCAGGCCAUAAGAAAACUACUUUAAACCACGGCAUAUGCAACUAUGCUUUUAGGGUGUAUUGACCUGUUUUAAAGUAUUCUGGCAUCAGAACAUGACCAUUGGAGGCUGUUCUGAAGAAAACCAAUGCUUAGGUUUAAACCAAGACAUAUGCAACUGUACAUUUAGGAUGCAUUGAGCUGUUUGACAAUCUUCUGGCGUCAGAACAUGACCA